Molecule: ribosomal RNA, 450 nt
Filed under: uncultured bacterium
Lineage: Bacteria
Description: partial 16S ribosomal RNA
Rfam family: Bacterial small subunit ribosomal RNA
Source: RNAcentral
CCUACGGGAGGCUGCAGUAAGGAAUAUUGGUCAAUGGACGAAAGUCUGAACCAGCCAUGCCGCGUGGAGGAUGAAGGUCCUCUGGAUUGUAAACUUCUUUUCUAUGGGACGAAAAAAGGCUUUUCUAAGUCGUCUGACGGUACCAUAUGAAUAAGCACCGGCUAACUCCGUGCCAGCAGCCGCGGUAAUACGGAGGGUGCAAGCUUUAUCCGGAUUCACUGGGUCUAAGGGGGGUUGGGAAGUGAUGGGUGAAAUCCCCGAGCGUAACUUGGGAACUGCCAUUGAUACUAUCAGUCUUGAAUACCGUGGAGGUCAGCGGAAUAUGUCAUGUAGCGGUGAAAUGCUUAGAUAUGACAUAGAACACCAAUUGCGAAGGCAGCUGGCUACCCGAAUAUUGACACUGAGGCACGAAAGCGUGGGGAUCAAACAGGAUUAGAUACCCCAGUAGUC